GGGGAGGUCAUUUCACCUCUCUGAUCUCCAGUUUUCUCUUGUUCUCAUCUGACCUCUAGAGCUACACUGUCCAAUAUGGCGGCCACCAGCCACUUACGGCUCUUCAGCACUUGAAAUGCGGUGAGUUUUAAUUGCCAAAGGUUGCAAUGCAAAAUACUACGGGACUCUGAAGGAAUGUAUAUUGAAAUCACCGGAGAACUUUUAAGAAUAGACUCCCAGACUCCAGCCUGGACGUAUUGGCACUUAUAUCUUUUUAAACAGCUUUAUUGAGGUAUAACCGGACAUGUUUACUGUAUACAUUUUGAUGAGUUUGGAGAUAUGCAUACACCCGACAAACCAUCACCACAAUCAUGGAAAUAAA
RNAcentral lists this long non-coding RNA (361 nucleotides) under Equus caballus (horse). Its description in RNAcentral is "lncRNA (ENSECAG00000053060.1)". The record is from RNAcentral. Lineage: Eukaryota; Metazoa; Chordata; Mammalia; Perissodactyla; Equidae.